GGCGUGUUCGUCUAGCGGCCAAGGACAGAACGUUCUCAACGUUCAGAUCACCGGUUCAAAUCCGGUACACGCCACAA
RNAcentral lists this transfer RNA (77 nucleotides) under Candidatus Roizmanbacteria bacterium RIFCSPLOWO2_01_FULL_37_16. RNAcentral describes it as "tRNA-Glu". It matches the Rfam family "tRNA". Rfam says of the family: Transfer RNA (tRNA) molecules are approximately 80 nucleotides in length. Their secondary structure includes four short double-helical elements and three loops (D, anti-codon, and T loops). Lineage: Bacteria; Candidatus Roizmaniibacteriota. The record is from RNAcentral.